UACGGGGGGGGCAAGCGUUGUUCGGAAUUACUGGGCGUAAAGGGCUCGUAGGCGGCCAACUAAGUCGGACGUGAAAUCCCCAGGCUCAACCUGGGAACUGCGUCCGAUACUGGAUGGCUUGAAUCCGGGAGAGGGAUGCAGAAUUCCAGGUGUAGCGGUGAAAUGCGUAGAUAUCGGGAGGAACACCGGUGGCGAAGGCGGCAUCCUGGACCGGCAUUGACGCUGAGGAGCGAAAGCCAGGGGAGCAAAC
This 250-nucleotide ribosomal RNA is filed under the name uncultured Acidobacteriota bacterium. RNAcentral describes it as "uncultured Acidobacteria bacterium partial 16S ribosomal RNA". It matches the Rfam family "Bacterial small subunit ribosomal RNA", at positions 524 to 773 of the family's 1533-position model. The record is from RNAcentral. Lineage: Bacteria; Pseudomonadati; Acidobacteriota.